UGGUGCAGAGACGUUUAAUGGCAAUUCGUAUAAACCAAGCCCAUGCACAAGUAGAAAGUGCUCGUGGAGCCAGCCCGGGGGGCUCCCGCCGCGCAGCGCCUUAAAUAGAUUCUUCACUAUACUCUGUAUGUUACAGUUAUGUACAAACCCCUCCCCACGGGAGCGGGACUCCGCCUCGCGAUCCUAUGUACACCCCCUCCUCUUUGGCCCCUAAGUGGGUGACCAGAGUCAGGGUGAUGGGGAAGACAGGGCCAGGAAAGGAGGAAACAGACGCAAACAUGCGGAGUCAGGGUGGGGCAGAGUCACCCCUGAAACACGAGGGCGCGCGCAGCGAAGGCAGCGGUGGGGACCGAGGCGGAUACAUUCAUCAGAGACUCGUCGAACAAAUAAAUAAGGCAAGUCAGGAAGGUCCGAGUCAAGUGCAGGCAGGAACGGGGUUAUGGAGAAGGUGCAGGCAGGGCUCCAUAGUCACAGCUGAAGAUGCAGAUAUGUGGGGCACGGGUCUUCUGGAGCCAGGGACCAAAAGAGGAGGCACGACCAGUAGGGGGGAAACGUGUAAGGCUGGGAAUAGGGGCGGGGAUUCUACGAAGGGCUCCCAAAAAGGUGAAGGGGGAAGAGCUGCCGACAGGGGGCUCCCCUAGUCCCGAAAGCCCUCUCCUUGUUUAGACAGCCAGAAGGGGCCCCCAGGGUGUGGAGAAAGGCGGUAGAGAGGUCAGGUGGCCAGUCCUGGCUGGGGCAGCCCCUCCAGCUCCUGGUUCUGCUUCAGUUCCCUCAUUCUGCGGAGAGACAGAGAUGAGUCAGAGGAGAUUGAUGAACCAGAAAAGGUGACAGGGCAGACAGAGAUCCAGAGAGGUAAGGGGCUAGAACCUGUGUCGGCAGCGCCGCAGGAACCUCAUUAUUUUCCGGGCUGCCUGGUCCUGCUUCUUCGUGAGAAAGGUGCCCCUGGUAGGAAAGAGACCUCAUAGAACUCAGGCAACCCCAGUCCCCACCUUAAGACCAUUACAGGGAAAGGCUGGAAGAGAACAGGGAGUGGGCAUGAACAAAGAGGAAGAGAAGGAGUUGCCUCAUCUGAGCAUCUUACAGCCCAUCUUGUAGACUCUGGACCUCUUCCUUCCUCCCACAGUCUCCUCCUUAAACUUCUUAAACAAUUGUUU
This 1154-nucleotide long non-coding RNA is filed under the name Rattus norvegicus (Norway rat). RNAcentral's name for it is "long non-coding RNA NONRATT004507". Lineage: Eukaryota; Metazoa; Chordata; Mammalia; Rodentia; Muridae. The record is from RNAcentral.